GCGGUCGUGGCGGAAUUGGCAGACGCGCCAGGUCGAGAGCCUGGUGGCACAGACCGUUGUGGGUUCGACUCCCACCGACCGCA
RNAcentral lists this transfer RNA (83 nucleotides) under Planctomycetota bacterium. RNAcentral describes it as "Planctomycetes bacterium (anaerobic digester metagenome) tRNA-Leu". It matches the Rfam family "tRNA". From Rfam's summary of the family: Transfer RNA (tRNA) molecules are approximately 80 nucleotides in length. Their secondary structure includes four short double-helical elements and three loops (D, anti-codon, and T loops). The record is from RNAcentral. Lineage: Bacteria; Pseudomonadati; Planctomycetota.